Long non-coding RNA from Lolium perenne, 1934 nucleotides. RefSeq lists it as uncharacterized. The record is from RefSeq and is a predicted model, not a curated record. Lineage: Eukaryota; Viridiplantae; Streptophyta; Magnoliopsida; Poales; Poaceae.
ACGGCCUAGACGGAGAGGAACAUCGAUCGACACGGAGGGAAACAAUGUACUAGGAAAAGGGAAACAACGACCUACACGGAGCGGAACAACGACCUACACGAAAGAGAACAACGACCUAGACGAAGGGGAACAACGACCAACACAGAGGGGAACAAAUGUCCUAGAAAAAGGGAAACAACGACCUACACGGAGCGGAACAAACGACCUACACGAAAGGGAACAACGACCUAGAUGGAGGGGAACAAUGGCCUAGAAAAGGGAAACAACGAUCUACACGGAGCGGAACAACGACCUACACGAAGCGGAACAACGACCUACACGGAAGGGAACAACGAACUAGACGGAGGGGAACAAUGAUCGAUACGGAGGGGAACAACGACCUACACGGAGCGGAACAACGACCUACACAGAAGGGAACAACGGCCUAGGCGGAGGGGAACAGCGACCGACACGGAGGGGAACAAUGGCCUAGAAAAAGGGAAACAACGAUCUACACGGAGCGGAACAACGACCUACAUGGAAUAACGGCCUAGAUGGAAAAAAGAAAUAAAACAAAAAAAUAAAAAAUUAGAAAAGAAAAAUUAAUAAAAAAAUGUAAGAAAGAAGAAAUAAAAUAACAAGAAGUUGUACAUUUAUAAAAGAAUGUAUAGUAAGAAAGAAGAAAAAAGAAAAAAAUAAAGGAAAGAAGAAAUGAAACAAAGAUGAAUGAUAACAUGAAAAAGAAAAAGAAAUGAAAGAAGAACAAAAAAGAAAAAAAUAAAGACGUACAUGUAGUGGUAGAAUGAAAAAGGGAAGUCAACCAACGAAACCGCACAGGGAACAGGCAUGCACGUACGGGGAUUCAUUGCUUCAAGGCACAGCGGCCAGCCUGGCAGUUUGUGCGCUCGCUCAUGAAUCGUGAUCAACUCUGGCUCCCUCGUUCGCGAUUAACGGGCCAAGCCCACGGUAGGAAAGCUUCAGCGAACCGUAUGUACGGAGCGCGCGCGCGCUAGGGAGCAUUCUCCCCUUCAACCCGAGCAGCCCUGCAUACCCCUUCGCUCCUCCACUCUUCUUCCUGUUGUCGUCUUCUUCGGUAGAGGCACGAGCCUCUCGUGCUCGCCUUUCCCCGGUCGCUGUCUCCCCCACAACCACUCCCUCCACCUCUCUUUUAAUCCCCAUCCGAGCCACAGAAACCCUAGUGUUUCUCCUCCCUCGCGCCGCCGCCUCCCAUCUCUCCUCUUGUUUUGUUUCAUCUUCUCUGUGACCAACGAAGAACACUGCCACCAUCCUCCCCGCCAUGGCGCCGCCGCUACAGACCGCCCCUCGCCGAGCUAAAACCACCGUUAGAUGCGCCUCGUCGUUCUCUUCGUCUGGGUAUAAGGAAUCGAGCCGGGAGCCCUCUAAUCAAGCGCACGGUCGCCGAUUCUCCGCGCCGGUCGGUGUGCUUCUUCUUCGAUUCCGGCCGCCCUCGUCCUCCUCUGGCCAAACCGAGCUUACCUCCGGCUGUUCCGUGACCAGGCGCACCCUCGACGCUCUCGCGCUCGUCCUGUUUCGCACGCAGCCGUCAAGUUCUUCUUCAACCAGGGCCUCCGCCAUGAACGCCAUGCCUGAGCUCUGCCUCCGCUUGGUUCAACUUGCUCCGCACCUUCCUUUUGACACGAACCUAACAGCAGCUCAAUGAUCUAGCGCAGAGAGAAGCUUCUUUUUGCUUAGGGCCUCUCCAAUUUCAACAUCAGCAAGCAGCCUAGCUGAUCUGGCAGCACCGACGGGCCUCGGCCCAGAUCCUCCGUCCCUGAUCAACGCCCAGUGCGGCCCAGCCCAAUCUCACGCCAAAGCUGACCAGUUCCGGCCCAGGACAGCGCAGCAUUUGCUUCUUCCCGGAUAGGAUCACGAAGUGGUGCAGUGAGAUACGCCAAGUUCUCCGGAUGUCCCUCGGCAAGCUUUAACAGGCAAGC